Molecule: long non-coding RNA, 472 nt
Filed under: Prunus dulcis (almond)
Lineage: Eukaryota; Viridiplantae; Streptophyta; Magnoliopsida; Rosales; Rosaceae
Description: sRNA ncRNA
Source: RNAcentral
CACUCCUCUUACAAAAAGCUGGGGCGGGGUGAAUUUUCUCCUUGCGCACCUUGGCGCCCUCCUCUCAACACUUGGGCAAGCAAAGUUGGGCUAAGGGAGUUGAAGUUCGGCUGGAGGUAUGUCCGCCGAGUUCCCAAUAUUCGAAUAUUUGAGAACUCAAAUAUAGUCCAACGUAGAGCCAAGCCCAACAUCCAAAUAUCUGGAGUUCACAUACCAGCCAUCUUGGCGGAUGGUCGACAGAUGGUAAGCCAACUCUAGAAUUCUAAAAACUCAAGGGGCACAAGGUUCAACUAGAUGUCAAGAUGAAAUCACGGAGGUCAAUGCCCAAGCCACGGAUUCACGCCCAAAAUUUCCAUAGGUCAAUGUGCAUGUGAUGGAGGCCUCACAAGGAAACAAAUCAAGGAGAUUGAUGAUAGUUCAGCAUACUCCAAAACAUGAGAGAAUCAAGCAAUCAGAAUAUUUCCAUCAAUGU